RNAcentral lists this ribosomal RNA (1211 nucleotides) under Actinobaculum massiliense. RNAcentral describes it as "bacterial SSU rRNA". It matches the Rfam family "Bacterial small subunit ribosomal RNA", at positions 89 to 1302 of the family's 1533-position model. The record is from RNAcentral. Lineage: Bacteria; Bacillati; Actinomycetota; Actinomycetes; Actinomycetales; Actinomycetaceae.
GCUCGAGUGGCGAACGGGUGAGUAUUACGUGAGUAACCUGCCCUCAACUGUGGGAUAAGCCUGGGAAACUGGGUCUAAUACUGCAUAUUCUUCUUUCACCGCAUGGUGGGGGUUGGAAAGUUUUUUCGGUUGGGGAUGGGCUCGCGGCCUAUCAGCUUGUUGGUGGGGUGAUGGCCUACCAAGGCGGUGACGGGUAGCCGGCCUGAGAGGGUGGUCGGCCACAUUGGGACUGAGAUACGGCCCAGACUCCUACGGGAGGCAGCAGUGGGGGAUAUUGCACAAUGGGCGCAAGCCUGAUGCAGCGACGCCGCGUGAGGGAUGAAGGCUUUCGGGUUGUAAACCUCUUUCGGUACAGAACAAGGCACGUUUUUUGCGUGUGGAGGGUAUGUGCAGAAGAAGCGCCGGCUAACUACGUGCCAGCAGCCGCGGUAAUACGUAGGGCGCGAGCGUUGUCCGGAAUUAUUGGGCGUAAAGGGCUCGUAGGCGGCUUGUUGCGCCUGCUGUGAAAACGCGGGGCUUAACUCCGCGCGUGCAGUGGGUACGGGCAGGCUUGAGUGUGGUAGGGGUGACUGGAAUUCCAGGUGUAGCGGUGGAAUGCGCAGAUAUCUGGAGGAACACCGAUGGCGAAGGCAGGUCACUGGGCCAUUACUGACGCUGAGGAGCGAAAGCGUGGGUAGCGAACAGGAUUAGAUACCCUGGUAGUCCACGCUGUAAACGUUGGGAACUAGGUGUGGGGCCCUUUUCCGGGGUUCUGCGCCGUAGCUAACGCAUUAAGUUCCCCGCCUGGGGAGUACGGCCGCAAGGCUAAAACUCAAAGGAAUUGACGGGGGCCCGCACAAGCGGCGGAGCAUGCGGAUUAAUUCGAUGCAACGCGAAGAACCUUACCAAGGCUUGACAUACACCGGGAGCAUGCAGAGAUGUGUGUGCCUUUUUGGCUGGUGUACAGGUGGUGCAUGGUUGUCGUCAGCUCGUGUCGUGAGAUGUUGGGUUAAGUCCCGCAACGAGCGCAACCCUUGUCUCGUGUUGCCAGCGCGUUAUGGUGGGGACUCACGAGAGACUGCCGGGGUUAACUCGGAGGAAGGUGGGGAUGACGUCAAAUCAUCAUGCCCCUUAUGUCUUGGGCUUCACGCAUGCUACAAUGGCCGGUACAGUGGGUUGCGAUACUGUGAGGUGGAGCGAAUCUCUGAAAGCCGGUCUCAGUUCGGAUCGGG